This 443-nucleotide ribosomal RNA is filed under the name uncultured bacterium. RNAcentral's name for it is "partial 16S ribosomal RNA". It matches the Rfam family "Bacterial small subunit ribosomal RNA", at positions 338 to 795 of the family's 1533-position model. The record is from RNAcentral.
CCUACGGGAGGCAGCAGUGGGGAAUAUUGGGCAAUGGAGGCACCUCUGACCCAGCAACGCCGCGUGAAUGAUGAAGGUCUUCGGAUUGUAAAGUUCUGUGAUGGGGGAAGAACACAAUGACGGUACCACAAUAGCAAGCCACGCCUAACUACGUGCCAGCAGCCGCGGGAAUACGUAUGUGGCAAGCGUUAUCCGGAAUGACUGGGCGUAAAGGGUGCGUAGGUGGUUUAGUAAGUUGGCGGUGUAAUUACAGGGCUCAACCUCGGCGCUACCGCCAAAACUAUUAGACUAGAGUGCAGGAGAGGUAUGUGGAAUGCCUAGUGUAGCGGUGGAAUGCGUAGAUAUUAGGAGGAACAUCAGGGGCGAAGGCGACUUACUGGAUUGUAACUGACACUGAGGCACGAAAGCGUGGGUAGCAAACAGGAUUAGAUACCCUUGUAGUC